This 169-nucleotide ribosomal RNA is filed under the name uncultured bacterium. RNAcentral describes it as "partial 16S ribosomal RNA". The record is from RNAcentral.
AUUACCGCGGCUGCUGGCACGUAGUUAGCCGUGGCUUCCUCCUUGGGUACCGUCAUUAUCGUCCCCAAAGACAGAGCUUUACAACCCGAAGGCCUUCAUCACUCACGCGGCGUUGCUGCAUCAGGGUUUCCCCCAUUGCGCAAUAUUCCCCACUGCUGCCUCCCGUAGG